AUGGACUACUCGGGUUUCUAAUCCUGUUUGCUCCCCACGCUUUCGAGCCUCAGCGUCAGAAACGUUCCAGAGCGCCGCCUUCGCCACCGGCCUUCCUCCCGAUCUCUACGCAUUUCACCGCUACACCGGGAAUUCCGCGCUCCUCUCCCGUCCUCUAGCCCAGCAGUCCCCUCCGACUGUUCCAGGUUAAGCCUGGAGAUUUCACAGAGGGCUUACCGAACCGCCUACGCUCCCUGUACGCCCAGUAAAUCCGAACAACGCUUGGGACCUCUGUAUUACCGCGGCUGCUGGCAC
This 294-nucleotide unclassified non-coding RNA is filed under the name uncultured fungus. RNAcentral describes it as "sequence contains ITS1". Lineage: Eukaryota; Fungi. The record is from RNAcentral.